CAUCAAAAAAAUGUGUGCCUUGAUAAUAGCUUCUCCAUUGCAAGGAAAUUUAAUGGAAAAGGAAAGGGUCCACCCAGAAGUUUAAAGACAGACCCAGUCAUCACAUAGUUUUUUUACUCUCAUAUUUAUUUGAGAGCACAACUUGGAGCCUGUUAUAUAAAAAAAUACAAGAGCAGAUUCCACUGAGUUAGAAAAAGACUGAAAAUAAACAAAGCAUCUCUUGUUAAAAUGGGACACUUGUGGUGGGCAGUCUGAAUUUAAUCAGUUACAUUUAAUUUACAUUUUCAUUGAUCCUUCCCACUAAAAUAUUGCUCUGAAAGGCCAGUUACACUAAAUUGCUUAUUCAAAAAUAUUCCAGUUAUUUCCUACUACACUGUCAUGAAAAUUAGGUUUUUGGCUGUGCAGAGGGAUGGAUGCCUGUUGGCUUCUGCCCAAGAAAGGCACUAAAAUCAUGGCUGGGAUUAGGAUGAAGCAGGAAGGAAGGGCAGCAAGAAAAUCACUGGGUGCAAUUCAUAGACUUUAAAAACAGAAUGUCUGGGGGAGGGGGGCAGGCAGCAACUUUGUCCCACUGAAGCAAGAAAAGCCUUUUUGUCCUUUCUGUGUCAGGAUUUCAUCCUUUAUCUGUGGUCUUAUUGUUCUGUGUUGCUGCUAGCACCCACAAGGGUCAUCCCACCAUCUGGGCAAUGCUGGUGUAUUUUAAGCAUGUAUAUAUUUGUUCCUUAAUUCGUACUCCUCUUCUCCCAGGUGGGGAUGAAGCAUACCAGCACUUUGGUGAGUCUCCUGGCUCAUGUGAGGACUGUGUUUUCCAGCCCUGGGUGGAACCAGCCAGGAGAGACUUGCUGAGAAUCCAUGCCUCAACAAGUGGUUCAAAAGAAGCCUGCUCAGGAAGAGACUGAAGAAACGUCCUCACAAGAGUCUGCAGAAGAAGACUAGGAGAUCACACCAUGCAAUUUCUACCUCAUCAGCAGUUGGGUCUUUUGAAGGGAGAAGACACUGCCUUGACCACUUACUUUCUAUUGCCAUGGUCUUUCCACUUUUGCCUGGGGGAAAAAAAAAAAUCACAUAACCUUAAAAAGGAUUCGACUAAUCAUCUUCUUUUGUAAUCCCUUCACAGUCCCAGGUCUAGUGAAAAACUGCUGUAACACAAAGGGGACACAGAUUAACGAUGCAACUUUUAAUUACUGUUUUCUUUUUUCCUAACCUACUAAUAGUUUGUUUGAGCUGCUAAGUAAGGGUGAAUGGGUCAAGAAGAGCUCCAAAUCAGGCUUAGGUCAUUGACUGCACUGCGUAUAAACAAGAAACUUGUAACAUAGUCAUUAUAAUGGGCAUUGAAAUAGGAAAGGCUGGGUGUGUAACACUUAUGCCUUGCAACACUUCCAGCAACCCACUCCCUACUUAGUGAACUCCCUCUUUUAGAACACCAAAGAUAGGGGAUAGAUACUAUCCUUUUUCUUUUGUAACCUUCUUGUAGACUUGUACUUGAUUUUUUUUUAUUUUUUUUUUUUUAAGACUUACUAUUAUUUCGGGAAAAAAAAAUGAAAGCUGAUCUUUUCAUUUCAUUCAGCCGGUAAUCAGAAGAAAGAAAUCAAGAUGAAAAAGGUACUUUGAUUUUACAAAAGGGAAGAAAGACAAAGAUACGUUGUAUAGUUACAGAUACAAUCUUAUCAGCACAAGCAGUAGUAAACAAAAUGAGCAGUUCUUAUCACCUGGCUAAUAGGAAGACAGGGAGUUGGCUUUCUUAGAGCCAGGAGUUUUCUAUGGGAACAAAAAUGACUGACACCACUCUUACACCAUUAAUGAGUAAGUCUUUACUGAUAAAAGUGUUUUAAAUCAUACAGAAAGGUACCUAGAAAUUAAUCAUAAAUAUAUCUGAACAAAAAUAAUCCAGAUUUUUGCUUAGUUUCUACUAAUUCCACUUGCCCUGUACCAGUAUUUUGAAAGAAUUGAAUCUUUCCUCAUUACUCAUCAGUCACAAUGUAAGAAUGAACACCAUGUACCUCAGCUAAGCUCAUGCAUUACUUUAAGCAAUGUAUUUUGACAUAGGAUGGUUCACUGAGCACCUCUGUGCCAGUGGCAUUUCUCCAUCUUUUCACUCAAAGCAGCACUUUUAGCACCAGAUGCAAUAUUACCCCACUAUUCAAUACUACCUCUGAUUUUUACAAAUAACUCAACAGACUGAUAAAUACAUGCUGCUAUACACAUUCAAUGCAGGAAAUUUUUACUGGGUAGAUAAUCAUGAGUAUCUGCAUUUUCCCUUUUUUUCUGUUUCAACCUUUUUUGCAGUUAAGGAAGCAAUGUCUUUUUUGUGUUUCAGCAUGACUAUAUGUUUUUCUUUCACUUGGUUUGUUUGAUUUUUCUUUUUUUUUUUUUUGUGUGUGGGUUUUUUGGUUUUGGUUUUGUUUUAUUUUAUGUACUUACUCUAUUCUCUGCUAGACUUCUGUGUAAUGUACUGUUAACUUGAAUAUAUUUUUGUAUUGAAUUGCUGAUAGAUUUGUGAGGAUAAUUUUCUUCAAGGACACUACAUGACAGAAAAAAUUUAGCUGUAAAGUUUAAAUAUUACUGUCCAAGUUUGUACCUCAAAUGAAUUGUUUAAAGAAAUGGACUAAUUGAUUGACAAAGACCUACCUCCAGACUUUAAAUGGAAUGAACUUGUUACUUUCAGCAUUAGUUUUGAGACGUUUGAAACAGUUAGGACUGCAACUAAUCCCUAAUCCAAAAUUAUUUUUGUAAAAUAACUUGUGGAAAAUGAACACAUUUUAAAUUACUUUCGUAUUAAAAGAAAAAAAAAUGAACAAAAAAAACCUUCAAAGAAACUUGAAGCUUUGUAGGUGGGAAGCAACAAGCUCAGCUUUUGCAUAAUGCAAUCACAAAUAUGUGUUUUUAAAAAAAAAAAAUUAGUAGAUUGUAAGAAAAUACUUGACAAGUAUUUUCAUGUAUUUUACACAAAUGUGAUUUUGUAAUAUGUUUCAGCCAGAUUUAUUUUAAAUGCUUCUUAUGUAGAGAUUUUUUUAUUCUCCCCUCUCUCACUUUUGUUGUUCUUUCUUUCUCUCUCUCUCUCUCUCUCUCUCUCUCCCCACCUCCAAUUUAAUUUUCUCUAUUUCUGUUUUGUUUCCCUUCUUCCUCUCUUUCCUAGUCAGUACUUUGUACCAUUGUAUUAAUAACUGGGCCAGGGGUAGUUUCUCAGGAAGGCAUCUGUUGGUCUGGCUUUCGUAUGGAGCCAAGUGCAGUUAGAGAUAACAAUUUACUGCCUUCUUCCAAGAGGCAGUGUCAAGAAAUGUGGACCUCCACGAAAGACUGUGCAGGGUUCAGUGCUGGAAAUUGCUGGGAAAGAGCUGAUUGGAAUAUUAUUAACUAGACAUGAUAAUAUCAAGUGAAAGAGAAAUAAUCCUAGCUAUACAGUAGCUCUAACAGGCCAAAUCCAAUGUCACUUGAAGGCAGUAAUAGGAAUUUUGCUGCCUUCAAAGGGCAUCAAAUCAAGCCUUAGCAAGUCCCUUUUGGGGUCUGAGGGGGUUUUUUUUGCAUUUUUUAAAACCACGGUAUUCAGCGGAUGACACAGAAAUAAUUGCUGUGUGUUUGUCACUCUUCAACCUCUGAGACUUACCACUCUGAUGAACCGAAUCUUACAUUUUCUAUAUAUUGUAGUACAAUCAAAACACAUUACUACCUCUUAGGGCCUACUAUACCUCAUUUUUUCAGACUGAAAAAUUGCAUGUGGCCAUUGAGUCAGUGAGAACAUCAUAAAAUUUUUUUAUAUAUAUAGUUUAUUUUUGUGGGAGAUAAAUUUUAUACGACUGUUCUUUGCUGUCAUUGGUCACUGCUAACUAUGACUGGACAUGUAACUCUUCUACCAUUUCUGCAAGAGAGGUGUGUUUGCAGGAAAAAAAAAUUGCUUUAAGAUGUUGAACUACAGUUUACUUUUCCUUUUGAGUGUCUUCUAACUCUUUGCUUUGUUCUUCAUGUAGAGUUGCUGUCUAUGAUUGUACUUCAAAUCGCUUGCUUGUUGAAAAUGUUCCUUUAAUGGUUUAUCACAGUCUGUUCAGCACAAUAAACAUAAUAGCCUCUGUGAUCCCCA
Long non-coding RNA from Cyanistes caeruleus (blue tit), 4072 nucleotides. Lineage: Eukaryota; Metazoa; Chordata; Aves; Passeriformes; Paridae. The record is from Ensembl.